CUGCUCGCUUCGGCAGCACAUAUACUAAAAUUGGAAUGGUACAGAGAAGAUUAGCACGGCCCCUGCGAAGGAUGACAUGCAAAUUCAUGAAGCGUUCCAUAUUUUU
Molecule: small nuclear RNA, 106 nt
Filed under: Chrysolophus pictus (golden pheasant)
Lineage: Eukaryota; Metazoa; Chordata; Aves; Galliformes; Phasianidae
Source: RNAcentral